CGAACGGUAACAGGAUGUGCUUGCACAUCGCUGACGAGUGGCGGACGGGUGAGUAAUGCUUGGGAACUUGCCUUUGCGAGGGGGAUAACAGUUGGAAACGACUGCUAAUACCGCAUAAUGUCUACGGACCAAACGGGGCUUCGGCUCCGGCGCAAAGAGAGGCCCAAGUGAGAUUAGCUAGUUGGUAAGGUAACGGCUUACCAAGGCGACGAUCUCUAGCUGUUCUGAGAGGAAGAUCAGCCACACUGGGACUGAGACACGGCCCAGACUCCUACGGGAGGCAGCAGUGGGGAAUAUUGCACAAUGGGGGAAACCCUGAUGCAGCCAUGCCGCGUGUGUGAAGAAGGCCUUCGGGUUGUAAAGCACUUUCAGUUGUGAGGAAAAGUUAGUAGUUAAUACCUGCUAGCCGUGACGUUAACAACAGAAGAAGCACCGGCUAACUCCGUGCCAGCAGCCGCGGUAAUACGGAGGGUGCGAGCGUUAAUCGGAAUUACUGGGCGUAAAGCGCACGCAGGCGGUUUGUUAAGCUAGAUGUGAAAGCCCCGGGCUCAACCUGGGAUGGUCAUUUAGAACUGGCAGACUAGAGUCUUGGAGAGGGGAGUGGAAUUCCAGGUGUAGCGGUGAAAUGCGUAGAUAUCUGGAGGAACAUCAGUGGCGAAGGCGACUCCCUGGCCAAAGACUGACGCUCAUGUGCGAAAGUGUGGGUAGCGAACAGGAUUAGAUACCCUGGUAGUCCACACCGUAAACGCUGUCUACUAGCUGUGUGUGCUUUUAAGGCUGUGC
RNAcentral lists this ribosomal RNA (783 nucleotides) under uncultured bacterium. RNAcentral describes it as "bacterial SSU rRNA". It matches the Rfam family "Bacterial small subunit ribosomal RNA", at positions 63 to 844 of the family's 1533-position model. The record is from RNAcentral.